AUAAGAGCUGUUGAAGGAGUC
Molecule: microRNA, 21 nt
Filed under: Arabidopsis thaliana (thale cress)
Lineage: Eukaryota; Viridiplantae; Streptophyta; Magnoliopsida; Brassicales; Brassicaceae
Description: ath-miR2937
Source: miRBase by way of RNAcentral